Molecule: ribosomal RNA, 420 nt
Filed under: uncultured Glomeraceae
Lineage: Eukaryota; Fungi; Glomeromycota; Glomeromycetes; Glomerales; Glomeraceae
Description: SSU rRNA
Rfam family: Eukaryotic small subunit ribosomal RNA
Source: RNAcentral
GGGAGGUAGUGACAAUAAAUAACAAUACGGGGUUCUUCGAAUCUCGUAAUUGGAAUGAGUACAAUUUAAAUCUCUUAACGAGGAACAAUUGGAGGGCAAGUCUGGUGCCAGCAGCCGCGGUAAUUCCAGCUCCAAUAGCGUAUAUUAAAGUUGUUGCAGUUAAAAAGCUCGUAGUUGAAUUUCGGGAUCAGCAGGUUGGUCUUGCCACUGGUAUGUACUAGCUUGCUGAUUCCUCCUUCUUGUAGAACCGUAAUGCCAUUAAUUUGGUGUUGCGGGGAAACAGGACUGUUACUUUGAAAAAUUAGAGUGUUUAAAGCAAGCUAACGCUUGAAUACAUUAGCAUGGAAUAAUGAAAUAGGACGUUCGAUCCUAUUUUGUUGGUUUCUAGGAUUGACGUAAUGAUUAAUAGGGAUAGUUGGG